UACCGUUUGAUCAUGGCUCAGAUUGAACGCUGGCGGAAUGCUUUACACAUGCAAGUCGAACGGCAGCACGGGUGCUUGCNNNUGGUGGCGAGUGGCGAACGGGUGAGUAAUGCGUCGGAGCGUACCGAGUAAUGGGGGAUAACGCAGCGAAAGUUGUGCUAAUACCGCAUACGCCCUGAGGGGGAAAGCGGGGGAUCGUAAGACCUCGCGUUAUUCGAGCGGCCGACGUCUGAUUAGCUAGUUGGUGGGGUAAAGGCCUACCAAGGCGACGAUCAGUAGCGGGUCUGAGAGGAUGAUCCGCCACACUGGGACUGAGACACGGCCCAGACUCCUACGGGAGGCAGCAGUGGGGAAUUUUGGACAAUGGGGGCAACCCUGAUCCAGCCAUUCCGCGUGAGUGAAGAAGGCCUUCGGGUUGUAAAGCUCUUUCAGCUGGAACGAAACGGUACGCUCUAACAUAGUGUGCUAAUGACGGUACCAGCAGAAGAAGCACCGGCUAACUACGUGCCAGCAGCCGCGGUAAUACGUAGGGUGCGAGCGUUAAUCGGAAUUACUGGGCGUAAAGCGUGCGCAGGCGGAUUGUUAAGCAAGACGUGAAAUCCCCGGGCUUAACCUGGGAAUGGCGUUUUGAACUGGCAGUCUAGAGUGCGUCAGAGGGGGGUGGAAUUCCACGUGUAGCAGUGAAAUGCGUAGAGAUGUGGAGGAACACCGAUGGCGAAGGCAGCCCCCUGGGAUGACACUGACGCUCAUGUACGAAAGCGUGGGUAGCAA
Molecule: ribosomal RNA, 771 nt
Filed under: uncultured Thiobacillus sp.
Lineage: Bacteria; Pseudomonadati; Pseudomonadota; Betaproteobacteria; Nitrosomonadales; Thiobacillaceae
Description: bacterial SSU rRNA
Rfam family: Bacterial small subunit ribosomal RNA
Source: RNAcentral